UCGCGGCGCUGCGCACUGCGCAGACUAGUGGCGCAGGCAGCGCGGGGAUAGCGCAGGCGCGCUGUGUGUCUCAAAAAUUGUGGAGGGUUUGGCGGGUGGCUGUGUGCUAGCUUUCCUGGGCGGUUGUUGGUGAAGCACAAGUUUUGAAGAGCGCAACCAAAGAUCCCAAAAGCAGUAACGCCAUGUCCACCAACAGCACCGAAAGCUCACAUUCACCAUCACCAGCUGGCCUGAAUGCACCACGAUACGGCACUAUGGUACCGAAGCGUAUAUUCGUCGGAGGAAUCUCUGCAAAUACGACAGAAUCGGAACUGCACGAGCUCUUCUCACGCUACGGAGUGGUGACCAAUGCAAAGAUCAUACUAGACAGAGCUGGUGUGUCCAAAGGAUAUGGAUUCGUGACGUUUGAGACAGACGAGGAUGCCCAGAGGGCUCAGGCAUCAGGAAAUAACAUAAUGCUCAGGGACCGCAGACUCAACAUCGCUCCAGCAAUCAGAAAGCAGCCAUUUUCGAGGGUGUAUGACCCAACCCAGUCAGUCCAGCCAGGGACGAUUCUGUACCAAAAUGGCGUGCCUUACAUGUACCAUAAUGGCACUGCCUUCUUCCACCCGGAUGCACUUACAUAUCAGUACUCGCCCCCGGCAGCUACUCAGACUUCCACUGCAGCUGUUGCUACAGCCAACACAGCUGUAUCGGGAUACCCGGUUGUGUACCAGCCAUCUGUCUACUACCCACAGCAGGCCUUCCAGUACCCUAAUGUGUGGAAUGCUCCUAAUGGUGGACAGUGGAGGUGGGCCCCACCUGCUACAAGCCAUCCCGCCGCUGCACACCCGGCGUACCUCUAUCCCACCACUCUGGUGAGCCUCGGUAGUGGUGGUAAUCCAGCAUCCAAUGAAGGCCAGGAGUACCAAGACCCAGCCAUCGUGGAGACUGGCUCUGAGGUAGGUGCCGCCAUGAUGCCGAGCACACCAAUGCGCAAGCCAGAUGACAGCGGCGGCACCCCCUCCUCUCUCCUGGCCUCUGCCUCUACAGCAGCAUCGUUGGGCAGCUUCUGGACUAAGGGCCCUUCCAGCCCCUCCGUCCAGCAUGCCACCAGUACUUCCAAUGAGGGCACUGCCACCCCCACCGCCCAAAGCCCGCUUCUUGGAACCGACUCAUCGGUACAGACCCCGCGGCGGCCUCGGGAGCUGGCGCCAAGGCAACGGCGCUAUACCGCACCACCCGAAGCCCUCCUCUCCCUUGAGGAGUAUACCAAAGGUAGUGAACGGGAUCUCCUUGAUGGUCAACCCCAAUCUGGCGAGUCCAGCAAGCAUCCAGGCUCUGGGGCAACCUGGCGUGACUGCCUCUUCGGCACUCCUCCCACCCCCUGCAGCACCCGCUCCCAGUGCCCCUGAAAGCCUGCCUUCUCCACCACUCUCCUCCCCUUCUACCUACUGAUGAUGAUGGGAUGCUAAUGAGCUCAUCUUCUUCCACCACCACCACUUCUUGCCUCGCAGAUCUGUUACAGAUGCCUCAUUCGAAAUCUUAAAAGUAUGCCAACUGCAGCCUACUUUACUUCUUCUCCCAGUUGACAGUACUUUUUAGAUUUCACCUGCCUUUCCACCUGGCAUUUUUUUCGUAUCUGAAUAUUCUCGGACUGUGUCUGCAGGUCAUUUUUUUUUUGCUUGCACAGACCAGUCAAACUUGUUUCCACCCCUGGGGCAUCUCAUCUUACCAGUGUGCCUCACUCUAAGACAUUUCUCAUGGGCAGAUCAUGCAAAAAUGCUACAUUAUUGGCCAACUAGAGCUGCCUUAAAAUGUUCAGCGCUUGGCUAGGCUCCUUUUCUUCAUUAUGUCGAAAGUUAAGCCUUCUUCUCUUGCUCAUCAUACUUUUGUACCUGCAAAGCAAUUGUGGUUCAGCCACCCAAGUAUAGCACUUUCUUGUGGGGGGAGGGGAUUGUACAGGUUUAUUUGCCUGUUGCACAUAGCAUGAUUCUGCCUCUUUAGUUCGGUCACUUCGAUAGUUAAACGUUACUUUGUAUGGGAAAUAGCAAUGCACAACUGGAUAAUGAACAAAUUUGAGUGACCAAUAUGCUAAAUACUUAUACGGAAUACGUAAUCUUUCGCAGGAGAUCUGGGGACAGAAUACCUUUACAAACAGUAGUUAUUUUUUUCAAAGGACAAGCUUUAACCCUACAAUUGCCACGUGCACACAAAUCGGCGAUAGAAACAUUUUCAAGGGAUCUGACUGACGAGGCACAAUUGUGUUGUCUUCUACUGUUCACAUCGUAAGCAAAAAAAAAAAAAAAAUCUGCGCACCCUUUUAAAAAAACGGGAGGGCAAGUGAUAUGUGCUGCUGUUAGCACGUACAGUCGAUUGUUAUUGAAUUGCUUCUUCAAGAAGUUUAUGUGGUGAUGUUCCGAACUGCACUGCAGCCAAACCAAAGUCUUGAUGUUGGAAGUCUUUGUCAUACGCUACACGUGGAAACGAGGCAGUGUUGAAAGUUACAAGAAGCUUUCUGUAGCACAAGCAUUGAUCAAAGGGUCAUUCAUGUGGAUGCAAUACUUUUAAAAGAUGUUAAAAAGAAAUGCUUCUAGUAAUUUUUUUUUUACCUUGCACUUGUUUCUCCUAAAGUGUUUGCAGCCACGUUGUCUCUGGAUAUUUGUGUGUGGAAUGUGUGUCCCUUGAUGUGGUUAUGUUUCAGCGGCAUCACUCUCAACUAUUUAUUUCAACUUCAGCCUUGCUGUUCAUGAUAUGCAACCCUAUUGGUUUUGAACAAGGCGGCUGCUGCUGAAGCGACACACACUGUUCUUACAAAUGUUACGCACACUGUAUGUCCAUGACCGGUUUCUCGAUUUUGUAACUGUACUUGUGUGCGGGUGCCGCAGGUGAAAAAUCUCGGCACUCGCAGAUAUCCAUUGCAGUUGACCCGAGAUUUCAGUUGCAUCUCUCCAUUCGGUACGUUUGCAAAUAUUCAAGUGCCAUUACACAAGCGGUGCAGUCUCGUAUUUGGGACAUAAAGGCGUGGACGUCUUGCUGAGCAACUGGCCGUUCCAUUCUUGGAAUGAUAUUGACAACUUACUUCUUCCGGUAAUUGCCUAGAGCGCACAAAUUGCAAAUGUUUGUAAGUGUCUCUGCCAUAGGUAACCAACCGUGCGCAACCAGAGCACACAAAACACAUCGCUCAAGAAGGCACUUUUCCUAUUGGGGUAGAAAAUUGUCGGUUUUAAAAGAUCUAGCACACAGAGUACCACUGAUUUAUUUUUCUUUUGUUUCUUAGUACGUGUAAAGUGCAGCUUGUCUGUCAGAAUUUAGUCCAGGCACUAUACUUAAUAUAAAACACGCUGUUCAAGCGCUGAAAGCCUGAAGGUCCCUAUGUUCUUUUGUUACGAGUUUCCUGACUCGUACCAAAGGGAUUUCAAAGUCAAAGCGGCAUGCGGGGAAACUGUUUACCCAUUUCAUGCGUGUAUCCAAACAUUUUUUUUUUUUUUUUGCUCUGUCCGUGAUCGGUGUUCCUUCUCUAGAGGCUCGCACAGUACACCUGCGUCUGUGAUUAUGGCGGGCAGCAUCACUCAUCUACUCAGUCGCUGCUUGCGCCUACUUUUUCUGUUACUGUGGUGCCAGAAAAGCUUUUGCGUAAACUGUUGUUACGGUUUUCGUGUAUCGUUCACGGCAGAAUGUGAUACUGUUUGCCUCAUGCGCAGGUAUUUUUGCGUAGCUGUUUUUUUUUUUACACAGUACAAAAGAAUAUUUUUUAGAAGGUCUGUGAUCGACAGCUAGUCCAUUCGCGUGUCAUAUAGCUAUUAAAAAAAAAAACUAUUGCCAUUGGGCAACGGACGCCUGCGUCGGUUGGCCUCGGAAAGUGAGUGAGCAGAUGCGGGAGGCAGAACACAAGAGUACUUCAGGAACAAUGCAACUCAUCCACACUGCAGUCAUUUCUUGAAAAAAGAUCAGACCCUUCACUUCAUGUGCAAUUGUCACUGUUAAAGCGUGCACAAUGUUUUGUAUGCGUAGUUGGCUUGUAUUGUUUGGCGGGAUGGCUCGUGUGUUAUGCUGAGAAGUGGGCAAUCCACACAUUCUAAUGCAUCUGCUACAGCGUUACGCCAAAGAAAGGGUGGUGUGCAAAAGUGUACUAUGUUUGCAAGAUAUUAUUUUUUUCCCUCACCAUUCCUCGUGUCGUCCUUUGUUUCAAACAUCUAUUUGUGCCAAGUAUCCAUAGUAUAUUAUUCCAUCUUGUUUGUGGUGGUCAUGAAAAGUAUGCGAAAGAAAAGACUCAGUCAUGAUCUCAGGUUUUUGCCGGAAGUGGAAGCUCUAUUUCUCGGCUGAUUUUCUUGCACGUGUACACCAAGUGCAAUUGUUUUGUGAGAGUUUUUUUUUACCUCUCUCUCCUGACUUUCAUGCAGUUUGUUUUUUUCUUCUUUCCGUGAGGCAGAGCAAGUGACUUUUCAUGUAUGGAAGAUGUUCUGACAUUGUAAUGUGGUGCUAAUCGCUUUUUUUUUUCCUCAUACCAAAUAUUUUUAUUCGUAUGGAAGAAGGAACAAUAGAGCAUUUUUUUAGCUAGCAUUUUUAUACAAGUGCUUUUUUUUUUCAAAAUGGAGAUUUUUUUUUUAGCAUCAAGUGGCUGGUGUGAAGAAAAAAAAAUUUUCUUGGCCCCUUCUCUGCCUCUAAUAUAAAGUGGCGCCGUUUUGGAGCUCCCGAAAUUACUGUUUACAAUGUGGAGCGUGUAUUUGCUGGUAUAGUAACAAUAAAUAAAAGUGAAUGAGCAUAAUC
RNA transcript from Rhipicephalus sanguineus (brown dog tick), 4749 nucleotides. It is a transcript of the gene named protein boule-like, with no coding region annotated. Lineage: Eukaryota; Metazoa; Arthropoda; Arachnida; Ixodida; Ixodidae. The transcript has 13 exons. The record is from RefSeq and is a predicted model, not a curated record.